This 555-nucleotide unclassified non-coding RNA is filed under the name Hevea brasiliensis (rubber tree). Lineage: Eukaryota; Viridiplantae; Streptophyta; Magnoliopsida; Malpighiales; Euphorbiaceae. The record is from RNAcentral.
AAAUAGUGUAUUUUUCAAAAUACAGGAUCAAAUAGUUAGUUUCGUUAACAUGCAAGGACUAAAUAGUAGUUUUCCCAUUAAACAAUGAAGAAAAACAUGGCUAUUUUAUGCUUCCUGUUGCAGAUAAUAUGCACUUAGAUCAGCAUAAUCUUACCAGUGGAAUAGGAAAAGAAACAAGGAGAAACUAAGCAUCAGGCAUAUUUAUAUAUCAAAGGCAAGUGUACAAGUCAAGCCAGUUAUUGGAGUAAUAUUUAUAUUUGUGAGAACUAUAGUGGCGUAGCAACUUUGAGUGAACUAUCUUCCUGUCUAGCAUAGUUUUAGAUUAUCAAGAUGAGUGCUCUAUCUGGAAGUUAGUACUAGAACUAGAACUAGAACUGGGCAACUGAUAUCAGACUUAUCGUUCUAUUCAAAUUACUAUUUUGAUUUUCACAUUGAUAUGGUUACCUUAACACCCAAUAACCUAAAUCAGCACAUAGAGAUUGAUCCAGUUGCAUCCUGAAUCAACAACAAAUGUAAUGAUGGUAAUAAAAAGGAAGACAAAAUAUUCUGGUAAAC